CAGAUUUUGCUAGUAUAAAAACUAACGGUGGGGUCCGGGUAAGAAGUUCAAACUUUCUGUAAGCACAUCCUCAACAAGAAUUCUAUUCUAUUUAUAUUUACUCAUGUCACUAUUAUAGGUGUUUAAGGCUAUUUUAAACCAGUAUGAAAAGAAAUUUCAGCAUAAAGUGGUCUUGUAAGUUGAAAUUUGAAAUUACCAAAACGCACAUCCUCAUACUUGCACCAUAUCAAUAC
This is a non-coding RNA of Cinara cedri, 233 nucleotides long. NCBI's taxonomy places the organism in Eukaryota, Metazoa, Arthropoda, Insecta, Hemiptera, Aphididae. The record is from the annotation of a GenBank genome assembly.